Molecule: non-coding RNA, 107 nt
Organism: Acanthosepion pharaonis
Lineage: Eukaryota; Metazoa; Mollusca; Cephalopoda; Sepiida; Sepiidae
Source: the annotation of a GenBank genome assembly
AGGGCCACAUCACGUUGAAACACUGGUUCCUGUACGAUCGCCGUAGUUAAGCAACGACGAGCCUGGACAGUAGCUAAAUGGGUGACCGUUUGAGAAUGCCAGGUGCU